RNAcentral lists this unclassified non-coding RNA (211 nucleotides) under uncultured Mucoromycota. RNAcentral describes it as "sequence contains ITS2". The record is from RNAcentral. Lineage: Eukaryota; Fungi; Mucoromycota.
AUCAGGUCCAUCCUUUUGAUGGGUGUUGGACUUUUUGCCUUUUUCAAAAAAGAGGGCUGGUCCUAAAAGAUCACCAGCAAUCAAGGGAAGAGGAUUGUCGAAGCGUAAUAGUUGACCCCUGGGUUGUCUUUCGCUUUAUUUCUCUCUUUUUCUUUGCAAAGUCAUAUCUAUCCACCUACGUUCAAAGAACGUAGGUAGGUAUAUAUCUUCA